AUGCCAAGGAAGGAGAGGAGAUUGGGUAUCAAGUACAUCCACAAUGAAAAAAAGCGUGCCGUCACCUUCUUCAAGCGGCGCGUUGGUUUGUUCAAGUGCUCCGCUGACCUCUCUGCCCUCACUGGAGCGAGUGUCGCCGUCGUCCUAGAGACGAACAUCGGAAAGAUGCACUCAUUUGGGACACCAUCAGCUGACCCCAUUAUUAAUGGUUUCCUAGAUGGGGUUCCACCAACGAAUACGUCCACUUGUGGUGUGCUGGCUACAAGGAUUGGCCAACUACAAUCUGAGGUGGCUCAGUUGGAGGAUGAGUACACAAUGGAGUAUAAGAGAACUAAACUAUACAUCCAACGUAUGAAGGAGAUCCAAGUUGGCAACCCUGGGAUGACAUCAAAUCUCAUAUUCUCCAAAGAAGAAGAUCUCAAU
RNAcentral lists this ribosomal RNA (423 nucleotides) under Triticum aestivum (bread wheat). RNAcentral's name for it is "partial small subunit ribosomal RNA". Lineage: Eukaryota; Viridiplantae; Streptophyta; Magnoliopsida; Poales; Poaceae. The record is from RNAcentral.